Molecule: non-coding RNA, 281 nt
Organism: Chelonoidis abingdonii (Abingdon island giant tortoise)
Lineage: Eukaryota; Metazoa; Chordata; Testudines; Testudinidae
Source: RefSeq, a predicted model, not a curated record
CAAACAUGUUUUUGAUAGCAGUAAUGGAGAAUUGGAAGACUGAUUAUUUCACAUACUAAAACGGAUUGUUUACCAGUAGAGUAACUAAGGUGCAGACGACAAUUUUGGCUUAUGCGUCUACAUAAAAAUGAGUGAAGUACAGGCUAUGGUAGAAUUCUCCGUGGAGCUCCACAAAUUCUACAAUGUGGAUUUGUUUCAAAGAGGUUUUUACCAGAUUCGUGCAUCUAUGAAAAUUCCUCCAAGAGUUCCGCACAAAUUAGAAGCCAGCUUGUUACCUGUGA